Hermetia illucens (black soldier fly) is the source of this 499-nucleotide long non-coding RNA. RefSeq lists it as uncharacterized. The transcript has 3 exons. The record is from RefSeq and is a predicted model, not a curated record. NCBI's taxonomy places the organism in Eukaryota, Metazoa, Arthropoda, Insecta, Diptera, Stratiomyidae.
CCGACUUCUGAUGUGUUUAUUGUCGUGAAUACUUCAUUCAACUUAAGUACUAUUGAUGCUAUCAUAAGGCAAACCAUAUUAUGCACCUUCGGUAUAUAAUAUUCGAUUUAUAUAUAAAUAUACUUACUUGCUGCGCUUGCUACUAACAUUAUGACACCUACUACCCUUAUUUUGUACUCUGCGUGCCUUUUUUAUAUCACUAUGUAAUGAUGUUAAAUCGGUUACGAUACAGGACGAUGUGGAUGGAUUGCUGCUAAUUGAAGUAACUGGACCAACAUUGUUAUCGUUCGUAUCGCAACGAGCUACACCAUCGUCGCUGCUUCCAAUGCUAGCUUCUAAACUGCACUGAUUCACAUUAAGGGUGAAGAUGUCACCGCCGCCGUCGCUGGGUGUUGCAUUCAAAGAAUUUGACGUUAUUGUAGAUGUUAUUCCUUGCGGGCGGCCACUACUGCUAUUGUCAUCAUGUCGACGCUUUAAUGCUCUGGGCAUUGGCUUUGAG